This 274-nucleotide long non-coding RNA is filed under the name Lathyrus oleraceus (garden pea). Its description in RNAcentral is "Pisum sativum (pea) long non-coding RNA (PSAT_LNC001789)". Lineage: Eukaryota; Viridiplantae; Streptophyta; Magnoliopsida; Fabales; Fabaceae. The record is from RNAcentral.
AUAAAUCCCACCGGGGACAACUUCCACUGAAACAAACCACUGAGGGACUCUGCUAGGGCAACAACCAAUGCUCACCUCUGCUGAGGAUAGCAGCCAAUCCAUAGGUAGGAUAAACUCUACUGGGGAUAAUUUCCACCGAACCUGAUCCACUCGGGGACUUGCUAGAGAAAACCAUCGACACAACCCUCUGCCAGGGAGAUCUGCUAGGGGAAAACAUUCACAACCCUGAUGGAGAAACACAUCCAUAACCCUGCUGGGGAAAGGCAUAACUCUG